RNAcentral lists this ribosomal RNA (450 nucleotides) under uncultured bacterium. RNAcentral describes it as "partial 16S ribosomal RNA". It matches the Rfam family "Bacterial small subunit ribosomal RNA", at positions 338 to 795 of the family's 1533-position model. The record is from RNAcentral.
CCUACGGGUGGCUGCAGUCGAGAAUCUUCCGCAAUGGGCGAAAGCCUGACGGAGCGACGCCGCGUGUGGGAUGAAGGCCUUCGGGUUGUAAACCACUGUCAGUUGGGAGGAAAUAUCCGGGGGUUCUCCCCCGGGUUUGACCGAUCUUCAGAGGAAGUCCGGGCUAAGUACGUGCCAGCAGCCGCGGUAAUACGUACCGGACAAACGUUAUGCGGAAUUACUGGGCUUGAAGAGUGCGUAGGCGGCCUAUGAAAUCCCUUGGCUCAACCAAGGAAUAGCGCUUCAAACCACUAGGCUAGAGUGAGGCAGAGGUGAGCGGAACUGAUGGUGGAGCGGUGAAAUGUGUUGAUAUCAUCAGGAACACCGGUGGCGAAGGCGGCUCACUGGGCCUUGUCUGACGCUGAGGCACGAAAGCUAGGGUAGCAAACGGGAUUAGAUACCCGAGUAGUC